AUUUUCUGCCACCGAAUACAUUAGCAUGGGAUAAUGGAAUAGGACCCUGUCCUCCUAUUUUCAGUUGGUUUUGGCAGCGCGAGGACUAGGGUAAUGAUUAAUAGGGAUAGUUGGGGGCAUUAAUAUUUAAUUGUCAGAGGUGAAAUUCUUGGAUUUAUGAAAGAUUAACUUCUGCGAAAGCAUCUGCCAAGGAUGUUUUCAUUAAUCAAGAACGAAAGUUAGGGGAUCGAAGACGAUCAGAUACCGUCGUAGUCUUAACCAUAAACGAUGCCGACCAGCGAUUAGGAGACGUUGAAUACAAAACACCACCAUCGGUGCGGUCGUCCUUGGCGUCGGUCUUUCGGGGCCGGCGCGGGGACGGCUUAGCCCGGUGGCACCGGUGAAUGACUCCCUAG
This 395-nucleotide ribosomal RNA is filed under the name Acanthamoeba sp. MMN-2011/T4. Its description in RNAcentral is "SSU rRNA". The stretch from base 1 to 349 matches the Rfam family "Eukaryotic small subunit ribosomal RNA", at positions 784 to 1116 of the family's 1831-position model. The record is from RNAcentral. Lineage: Eukaryota; Discosea; Longamoebia; Acanthamoebidae.